UACAGAGGGGGCAAGCGUUGUUCGGAAUUACUGGGCGUAAAGGGCGCGUAAGCGGCCUGUUAAGUCGGACGUGAAAUCCCUCGGCUCAACCGGGGAACUGCGUCUGAUACUGGCGGGCUUGAAUUCGGGAGAGGGAUGUGGAAUUCCAGGUGUAGCGGUGAAAUGCGUAGAUAUCAGGAGGAACACCGGUGGCGAAGGCGGAUCUCUGGGCCUUACCUGACGCUGAGGCGCGAAAGCUAGGGGAGCGAACAGG
RNAcentral lists this ribosomal RNA (253 nucleotides) under uncultured bacterium. RNAcentral describes it as "partial 16S ribosomal RNA". It matches the Rfam family "Bacterial small subunit ribosomal RNA", at positions 524 to 776 of the family's 1533-position model. The record is from RNAcentral.